Molecule: long non-coding RNA, 270 nt
Filed under: Olea europaea (common olive)
Lineage: Eukaryota; Viridiplantae; Streptophyta; Magnoliopsida; Lamiales; Oleaceae
Description: long non-coding RNA (OEUR_LNC006437)
Source: RNAcentral
UGCUGUCAUAUUGUUACUUGACUCUUGUGAAAUUGGUUAUGUGUUACUUGUUAUGAUAUCAUCAUUUAUGUCAUCUUAGAAAGUAAUUUAUACAUAAAUUGGUUUGAGCUUGCAUUUGUGUGUGGGUAAAUUGGCUAAGUAAAACUUUUUUCGAAAACAUUAUUUUGCUAAUAUGGCCUCUCGAGUUGAAUUGGCACAAUUCAAUGGUAAGGGAGAUUAUUCCAUUUGGAAGCAAAAAAUGAAAGCUAUUUUAAUUCAACAAAAUGUUUC